AGUGAGCGAGAAAGAAAUGCAAGAGAUAACGAAGGAAAAGGGUGUAAGCGUGUGGCUUCUGGCUUUCGGGUCUUUCUUCUUUUUUUCUGAAAGGGAGAGGCUUUGGGAUGGAGUAUCUAGAGAGCGGGAGAGAGAGAGUUGGAGGGGGCGUUUCUCCUGGCUAUGAUUAUCAGAUAUUUCCAAUACAUUGUCAACAUCGUGUCGUCUACUUGAGUGGGGGAAACUGACAAGACUAAAAACAAUUGAUGCCCUUAUCAGAGGCAGUGCGUGGUGGAUGGGGAAUCCAAUAAGAGUUUGUGAGGAAGUGGGCCUGGGCGACACCAUACCACACAUCAGAGGUCCAGCAGCAGCUCCUGUGGCUCGUGGCGAAUAAGGUCACAGCCAAAGAGCAAAUCCAAUAUCCAGACUGGCAGCCUGCCGAUUGACGACCUUCUCCUGGGCUGGAUGACUAUCCAGGACCUCCAUCCUCUUUGCCAGGGACAUCACACAAUCCACUCUCUUUUCCCUAUUCUUCCCCUGAACUUGACAGUGGUUCACUGUUCCUGUUGGCACACGCACAAAGAUUCAGAUAGUAUCUUGAAAUCUACUCUGCCCUCCAGCUAGUAGUGCUUAAGAUUCAUUGCUUAUCAUUACUGAGGAGGACACCCACAAUUGGCACAGCAGUAAGGUGACACAUUCACUGGAGAAUUUGGCUAGCAUGAGCCUAGAAUAGCUUCCUUAAAAUAGCUACUCUCAUACACAUAUCAUUAUCAUGAUCUAAUGGAUUUAAUUACGUUAAAGAAAUACAUGUUGCAAAAAUAAGAGUGACAAUGUGUGUAAAGAAUGUGUUACUGGCAAUUUUAGUAUGAUUUUGUUAGAAAUCACAUUUGUUUGACAGCCUUGAUUGUGGUAAACACAGCAACCUCCCAUCAUGCACCAGAAUAAAAUGAUUAGAAUGGUUUUGACUAGAUGAUAUACAGCUAUGGAUGAAAGUGACUUUUUUGUAGCAGGUUAGUAGAAUUUAAGCUGCAGGUUAAGAUAAUUUAGAAGUUUAGGAUAAUUAGAUGAAGGUUAUGAAAAGGGUUAGGGUUAGCUAAAAUGCUCUCCUAACCUGUUACGAAAAGUGACUUACGUCCAUAACUGUAUCCUAUCUAGUCACAACUGAUAAGAAUUGACCUGUUAAUACUACUGCUUAGUGCUGAUAGAAACAUGGUAAGACAACCAGGCAGCACUUUGGUGUCAAUUAUCUGCCAGUUAUUCUACAGGCUAUGUGCACAGAGCAAGCAUUCUGCAUUUUAAAUAUAAUUAUAAAAACACAUGCCCGGUAGAGACAUCUGUGGUAUGACCAAAGGUCAAUGCGGCAAUCUGAGGAAUUCACAUAGUUUAGCAGAAAGCAAACGUUAUGGAAUAAGCCAUGUACUUUACCACUGUACCAUAAUGGACUGUAUAGCAUACUGUUUUCCUCAUUUAGCUAAAAGCAGCCUUUAUGGAAUAAGUGGCUAUAUGUUAGAGACCUGCCAUAAGGAUUUCCUUUAUCUUUCUCUAGGCAUACCGAUAACAGUGGGCAUGGCGAAGCACUGCCCUCACACAGUUUAUGUAUGGCAUGUUUUGAAUGUUGCCUGCACUCAUGACCAUGAAACCUCAGGAAGGGAAACCGUAUUUCCCUUCAAUUUGAAACUGAACGUCAAUAAAACACGUGCUACUGUGUGCAAUAUUUCACGAUCAAUAAAGUGU
Oncorhynchus keta (chum salmon) is the source of this 1713-nucleotide long non-coding RNA. RefSeq lists it as uncharacterized. The record is from RefSeq and is a predicted model, not a curated record. Lineage: Eukaryota; Metazoa; Chordata; Actinopteri; Salmoniformes; Salmonidae. The transcript has 3 exons.